RNAcentral lists this long non-coding RNA (986 nucleotides) under Pan paniscus (pygmy chimpanzee). RNAcentral describes it as "lncRNA (ENSPPAG00000044558.1)". Lineage: Eukaryota; Metazoa; Chordata; Mammalia; Primates; Hominidae. The record is from RNAcentral.
GGCCCAGGGUGUCUGUGCAGAGCUUUAAUUUUUAACAGAAAAUAUUUUAUAUUCUGGUUAUGAAAAGCCUUACAUCAGGAAUAAAAGCUACCUAUAAUUCUCAUUACUUAGGGCAGUUUUUUUUUCACCUCUGCAGAGAGGUUGGUCAUAUCCAUGGUGACCAUUUAUGGGCCACAACAGGUCCCCAUCUGCGCAGUGAACCCUGUGCUGAGCACCUUGCAGACGUGAUCUUGCUUCAUCCUGCAGCACUGUGUGGGGCAGGAAAAUCCAAGAGGAAGAAGGAUCUACGGAUAUCCUGCAUGUCCAAGCCACCCGCACCAAACCCCACAACCCCCCGGAACCUGGACUCCCGGACCUUCAUCACCAUUGGAGACACAGUAGGUGCCAGCCGCCACCCCUGCAGGGCCUCUCACUUCACCUGACGAGCGGGUAGAGCUGACCCUGCAGGACCACUCUUGGGGGAGGUGACUGAGGGGUCAGAGAGGGUCAGGCUCUGGAGAAGAGCCUCAUCCUGCGCUGCUGCUGUGUGGCCCUGGGCCACCCACUCUUUGACCCUCCUGGUGGGAAUGAGGACCAUUGGCUGCCUGACUGGAGCUUGGCGAGCCCAGAGCUGGUAGGAAGGUUUCUGAGCUGAGAGCAAGGCCCUGCACCUCAUCCUAGCCCUAGGGGAGAGUAUUGAACAUGCAGGCUCCUAGGCCGCCCUGGACCCGCUGGAUCACUCCCUCAGGCCAGCACCUGGGAAACCUGCAUUUUAUGCUUCCAGAAGCCUCAGAAGGGCACUAGCCAUUCAGAAUCCUGGCUCAGGGACCGUGCUAUGCCCAGUUCCUCCCAACAGAAACCCUACUCCCAGGCCAGGUGCAGUGGCUCACACCUGUAAUCCCCACACUUUGGGAGGCCAAGGCAGGAGGAUCACUUGAGCCUAGGAGCUUGGGACCAGGCCUGGGCAACAUGGUGAAACCCUGUCUGUACAAAAAUACAAGAAAUUA